GCCGUGCGCUAGGGAGGGACCAAGAGACCCAGGAACCCGAGGACUUAAGAAACUUGACUGGCAUCCAGCUGCCCAAUCAAUAGCUCCCUGGUUCCGAAGCCGCUACCGCGAGAAGGAGGGACAAGACCGCGUCAACAGAGAGGGUGGAAAGACGUGGGCACGAAGCCCCGAGGUGAUUGGCUGAAGGCACUUCCGGUGAGCAUCUCGACUUGACUUAGGCUCCUGUGGCGCCAAAAUGUCGCUCGUAGCGGGGGUUAUUCGGCGGUUGGACGAGACGGUGGUGAACCGCAUCGCGGCAGGGGAAGUUAUCCAGCGGCCGGCUAACGCCAUCAAGGAGAUGAUUGAGAACUGUUUAGAUGCAAAAUCCACCAGUAUCCAAGUGGUUGUUAAAGAGGGAGGCCUCAAGUUAAUUCAGAUCCAAGACAAUGGCACUGGGAUCAGGAAGGAAGAUCUGGACAUUGUGUGUGAGAGGUUCACUACAAGUAAACUGCAGUCCUUUGAGGAUUUAGCUAGUAUUUCUACCUAUGGCUUUCGGGGUGAGGCUUUGGCCAGCAUCAGCCAUGUGGCUCAUGUUACUAUUACGACCAAAACAGCUGAUGCAAAGUGCGCGUACAGAGCAAAUUACUCAGAUGGAAAGCUGAAAGCUCCUCCUAAACCAUGUGCAGGCAAUCAGGGGACCCAGAUCACAGUGGAGGACCUUUUUUACAACAUAUCCACAAGGAGGAAAGCUUUAAAAAAUGCAAGUGAAGAGUAUGGGAAAAUUUUGGAAGUUGUUGGCAGGUAUUCAAUACACAAUUCAGGCAUUAGUUUCUCAGUUAAAAAACAAGGUGAGACCGUGGCUGACGUUAGGACACUGCCCAGUGCCACAACGGUGGACAAUAUUCGCUCCAUCUUUGGAAAUGCUGUUAGCCGAGAACUGAUAGAAGUUGGGUGUGAGGAUAAAACCCUGGCCUUCAAAAUGAAUGGCUACAUAUCCAAUGCAAAUUACUCGGUGAAGAAGUGCAUCUUCUUACUCUUCAUCAACCAUCGUCUGGUAGAGUCAACUUCUUUAAGAAAAGCCAUUGAAACAGUGUAUGCUGCAUAUUUGCCCAAAAACACACACCCAUUCCUGUACCUCAGUUUAGAGAUCAGCCCCCAGAAUGUGGACGUCAACGUGCACCCCACAAAGCACGAAGUUCACUUCCUACAUGAGGACAGCAUCCUGGAGCGGGUGCAGCAGCACAUCGAGAGUAAGCUCCUGGGCUCCAACUCCUCCAGAAUGUACUUCACCCAGACUUUACUACCAGGUCUUGCUGGCCCCUCCAGAGAGGUGGUUAAAUCCACAACAGGUGUGACCCCCUCAUCUGCUUCUGGAAGUGGCGACAAGGUCUAUGCCCACCAGAUGGUCCGCACAGAUUCACGGGAACAGAAGCUUGAUGCCUUUCUGCAACCCAUGAGCAAGGCUCUGUCCAGUCAGCCUGAGGCCAUUGUUCCACAAGACAGGACCGAUGCUUCCAGUGGCAGGCCUGGACAGCAAGAUGAGGAAAUGCUUGAACUCCCAGAGCCUGCUCAAGCGUCUGCCACAAAUCAGGGCACAGAGGAAGAUGCAACAGAGGGGCCUUCAGAAACAUCAGAGAGGAGAGGGCCCCUUUCCAGCCUGGGCAACCCCAGAAAGAGGCCCCGGGAAAGCUCUGAUGUGGAAAUGGCGGAAGAUGAUUCCCGAAAGGAAAUGACAGCAGCGUGUACCCCUCGGCGGAGGAUCAUCAACCUCACCAGUGUGCUGAGCCUCCAGGAAGAAAUUAACGCACGGGGACAUGAGACACCGUGUCUUGAAAUACAACAACCUAGAUCAGCCCAUAAAGUCCUGAGCAGCCACGGAGCAGAAUCGCCUGGUGAGGGAGACAGGGCAGCUCUGUUAGCUGUUUUGAAGUUGAGGAGUGGAAGAUGGGGAGGACGGGAGAGGACAGCACUUCGAGAGAUGCUGCAGAACCACUCCUUUGUGGGCUGUGUGAAUCCGCAGUGGGCCUUGGCACAGCAUCAGACCAAGUUAUACCUUCUCAACACCACCAAACUGAGUGAAGAACUGUUCUACCAGAUACUCAUUUAUGAUUUUGCCAAUUUUGGUGUUCUCAGGCUCUCGGAGCCAGCACCACUGUUUGACCUGGCCAUGCUAGCCUUGGAUAGUCCUGAGAGUGGCUGGACGGAGGAAGAUGGUCCCAAAGAAGGACUUGCCGAGUACAUUGUUGAGUUUCUGAAGAAGAAGGCUGAGAUGCUCACAGACUAUUUCUCUUUGGAAAUCGAUGAGGAAGGGAACCUGACUGGAUUACCCCUGCUGAUCGACAACUAUGUGCCUCCUUUGGAGGGUCUGCCUAUCUUCAUUCUUCGACUAGCCACGGAGGUGAACUGGGAUGAAGAGAAGGAAUGUUUUGAAAGCCUCAGUAAAGAAUGUGCUAUGUUUUACUCCAUUCGGAAGCAGUACGUAUCUGAGGAGUCGACCCUCUCGGGCCAGCAGGGGGAAGUGUCCGGCUCCUCUGCAAACCCCUGGAAGCGGACUGUGGAACACGUUGUCUAUAAAGCCUUCCGCUCACAUCUUCUGCCUCCUAGACAUUUCACAGAAGAUGGAAAUAUCCUACAGCUUGCUAACCUGCCCGAUCUGUACAAAGUCUUCGAGAGGUGCUAACCACACUCACUUGUGGACUCUGGGCUGUGCGGUUCUUGCCUUGUGUCCUGAUGAGGAAGAGAAGAGAACAGUCAAUCACCUGUCAGCAGCUGUGACCUCAGGCAGUGACAACCUCUGCAGCCCAGGAGGGGACAGUAAAGUGGAAGGAGACGAACGCAAAUGCCCACGGGGUGGCCACAGCACCUCUGCAGCCUGGACUCCAGAAUGGCUCUCUUGCCAGAAGCUCUAACACCUGAUCCCAGCAUCCCUUGGACCAGGGAGUUGGAAGAAAAUGUGACUCUUUAUGCUAUGGUGUGGGGAGGCUGACCACUGAGGAGAGCCCUGUCAAUGCAUCAGUGGCCCCCGACAACCUUAUGUGCCGCCCUUCCCCCAGGAGCCUCCAGUUUCUCUCACCUUCCUUCCUUCCAGGCUCCCUUCUGCUGCCAUACCUCGAGGACCCUUCCUUGCCCACCUCUGACUCAUGUCCUCAGCAUGCCUCUACUUGGUCUCCUAUAACUUCACCUUCCCUGUCAUGUUUUUAAUGGCUUUUCUAAGAUGAUCAUGCCUUCUAAACACUGUGUACCUGAGGAGAGGGGCCAUGGCUCUGCCAUCCUUAGUCUACCUCUGUAUCUCACCAAGGGCUUUGGGCCUGUGCUUAAUAAACAUUUGCUCAAAGAAA
Molecule: RNA transcript, 3317 nt
Organism: Mustela erminea (ermine)
Lineage: Eukaryota; Metazoa; Chordata; Mammalia; Carnivora; Mustelidae
Gene: MLH1
Gene name: mutL homolog 1
Exons: 22
Source: RefSeq, a predicted model, not a curated record